AGAGUUUGAUCCUGGCUCAGAUUGAACGCUGGCGGCAUGCCUUACACAUGCAAGUCGAACGGUAACAGGUCUUCGGAUGCUGACGAGUGGCGAACGGGUGAGUAAAGCAUCGGAACGUGCCCAGUCGUGGGGGAUAACUGCUCGAAAGAGCAGCUAAUACCGCAUACGACCUAAGGGUGAAAGCGGGGGACCUUCGGGCCUCGCGCGAUUGGAGCGGCCGAUGUCAGAUUAGAUAGUUGGUGGGGUAAAGGCUUACCAAGUCGACGAUCUGUAGCUGGUCUGAGAGGACGACCAGCCACACUGGGACUGAGACACGGCCCAGACUCCUACGGGAGGCAGCAGUGGGGAAUUUUGGACAAUGGGCGAAAGCCUGAUCCAGCAAUGCCGCGUGCAGGAAGAAGGCCUUCGGGUUGUAAACUGCUUUUGUACGGAACGAAAAGGUUCUUUUUAAUAAAGAGGACUGAUGACGGUACCGUAAGAAUAAGCACCGGCUAACUACGUG
RNAcentral lists this ribosomal RNA (502 nucleotides) under uncultured Comamonadaceae bacterium. RNAcentral describes it as "bacterial SSU rRNA". It matches the Rfam family "Bacterial small subunit ribosomal RNA", at positions 8 to 507 of the family's 1533-position model. Lineage: Bacteria; Pseudomonadati; Pseudomonadota; Betaproteobacteria; Burkholderiales; Comamonadaceae. The record is from RNAcentral.